UGCAUGUUUCGCGGCAGUUUCAAAGUGAAAUGUCCAGAGAGUGGCGCUAAAACACGUUUAAUACGUGACUGUGGCACGUUUUUAUUACAUUGGUACAAGCACGUACUGUAGCGCUUUUAACACGUUGCUUGAGGAACGUAUUGCGGCUGUUCAGAAUUCAAAUAUUGGGGGAGUGUCGCUAAAGAUUAAUGCUCUUAUCAUGUUGGAAAUAUCCCCUACACCAAACUAUGGCUGUCAAAACGGCUGAAAAACUAAAUUCAAAUUUUAUUCUUAAAUAUUAGCAAAAUUCGAAUUCUGAAGGCAAUUCUUAAAGGUGUGUAGUGGGAUGAACAGAGUGUGCGUUGUUUCUUUAAAUAUGCCAUGAAUGCAUGAGUUGUCCAAUCAUAUAUUUUCAGGGGUAUAUAAAAGGGGACUUUUAAGGCUCCCUUGUGCGUCAUUCGCUGCCCGAGGCCCGUCCAUUCCGGUUUUGGCUCUUCCCGUCUCUCAGAUGUCUCCAUGGUUGCAAGCAGCUGGUCAUGCUGGUUAUGUUGAAGGAAGUUAGCCUAUUUUCAGGCGCUGCGUAAUAUCAUUGUGCCUGCUGAGAUCGACUGAAUGGAUCGGCGAAAACGUGACCUCUGAAUAUGUGACAUCCGCCAGUGGCUCUGGACCAUCUUUAAAAAAAGCCAAAACUAUUGAAUAAAUUAUAUUUGCUUAUUUUGAAUGGUAUUUGUUUAAAUAAGGUUUAAAACUCAACCUUUGUGUCUCUUAUUCACUUCAGUCACAACGUCACAGAUCUGAUCAGAACCUGCUGGACAGCAAACAAGGAGGAUAAAAGCAGCAGCAGCAGUGAGAUGAAGAUCAACAAGCACAACAAUCCCAAAACCACUCCAGCGACCAGAAGAAGAGAUGAAGCUGCUGAGACUGAAGAACAUGACAAACGCGCAGAUCUGUUAGUGUGAGACAAACUGUAUUAUACUAUUACAAAGGAGUAGAAACCCUCAUGUGACUUUGAGACAGUCGUGAUGUUCAUCUCUCCUGUCGUCUGAUUCUGGACGAGUGAUCCGUCUUUAUAGAAAUCAGCUCCGAGGAUCGGGAGUUUGUAGAUCGAUGUAAACAGUGUAGAGU
Onychostoma macrolepis is the source of this 1104-nucleotide long non-coding RNA. RefSeq lists it as uncharacterized. The record is from RefSeq and is a predicted model, not a curated record. NCBI's taxonomy places the organism in Eukaryota, Metazoa, Chordata, Actinopteri, Cypriniformes, Cyprinidae. The transcript is spliced from 5 exons.